RNAcentral lists this transfer RNA (87 nucleotides) under Parasphingorhabdus marina DSM 22363. RNAcentral describes it as "Sphingorhabdus marina DSM 22363 tRNA". It matches the Rfam family "tRNA". From Rfam's summary of the family: Transfer RNA (tRNA) molecules are approximately 80 nucleotides in length. Their secondary structure includes four short double-helical elements and three loops (D, anti-codon, and T loops). Further hydrogen bonds mediate the characteristic L-shaped molecular structure. tRNAs have two regions of fundamental functional importance: the anti-codon, which is responsible for specific mRNA codon recognition, and the 3' end, to which the tRNAs corresponding amino acid is attached (by aminoacyl-tRNA synthetases). tRNAs cope with the degeneracy of the genetic code in two manners: having more than one tRNA (with a specific anti-codon) for a particular amino acid; and 'wobble' base-pairing, i.e. permitting non-standard base-pairing at the 3rd anti-codon position. Lineage: Bacteria; Pseudomonadati; Pseudomonadota; Alphaproteobacteria; Sphingomonadales; Sphingorhabdaceae. The record is from Rfam by way of RNAcentral.
GGACAGGUGGCAGAGUGGUCGAAUGCACCGGUCUUGAAAACCGGCGUGGGUGCAAGCUCACCGUGGGUUCGAAUCCCACCCUGUCCG